RNAcentral lists this ribosomal RNA (236 nucleotides) under uncultured Actinomycetales bacterium. Its description in RNAcentral is "partial 16S ribosomal RNA". It matches the Rfam family "Bacterial small subunit ribosomal RNA", at positions 96 to 334 of the family's 1533-position model. Lineage: Bacteria; Bacillati; Actinomycetota; Actinomycetes; Actinomycetales. The record is from RNAcentral.
UGGCGAACGGGUGAGUAUCACGGUGGGUGAUCUGCCCUGCACUCUGGGAUAAGCCUGGGAAACUGGGUCUAAUACCGGAUAGGACCAUGCUUUAGUGUGUGUGGUGGAAAGUUUUUUCAGUGUAGGAUGAGCCCGCGGCCUAUCAGCUUGUUGGUGGGGUAAUGGCCUACCAAGGCGGCGACGGGUAGCCGGACUGAGAGGUUGGUCGGCCACAUUGGGACUGAGAUACGGCCCAG